This 807-nucleotide ribosomal RNA is filed under the name Micromonospora pallida. RNAcentral's name for it is "bacterial SSU rRNA". It matches the Rfam family "Bacterial small subunit ribosomal RNA", at positions 71 to 893 of the family's 1533-position model. The record is from RNAcentral. Lineage: Bacteria; Bacillati; Actinomycetota; Actinomycetes; Micromonosporales; Micromonosporaceae.
AAAGGCCCUUCGGGGUACUCGAGCGGCGAACGGGUGAGUAACACGUGAGCAACCUGCCCUAGGCUUUGGGAUAACCCCGGGAAACCGGGGCUAAUACCGAAUAUGACCUGCUGUCGCAUGAUGGUGGGUGGAAAGUUUUUCGGCUUGGGAUGGGCUCGCGGCCUAUCAGCUUGUUGGUGGGGUGAUGGCCUACCAAGGCGACGACGGGUAGCCGGCCUGAGAGGGCGACCGGCCACACUGGGACUGAGACACGGCCCAGACUCCUACGGGAGGCAGCAGUGGGGAAUAUUGCACAAUGGGCGGAAGCCUGAUGCAGCGACGCCGCGUGAGGGAUGACGGCCUUCGGGUUGUAAACCUCUUUCAGCAGGGACGAAGCGCGAGUGACGGUACCUGCAGAAGAAGCGCCGGCCAACUACGUGCCAGCAGCCGCGGUAAGACGUAGGGCGCGAGCGUUGUCCGGAUUUAUUGGGCGUAAAGAGCUCGUAGGCGGCUUGUCGCGUCGACUGUGAAAACCCGUGGCUCAACUGCGGGCCUGCAGUCGAUACGGGCAGGCUAGAGUUCGGUAGGGGAGACUGGAAUUCCUGGUGUAGCGGUGAAAUGCGCAGAUAUCAGGAGGAACACCGGUGGCGAAGGCGGGUCUCUGGGCCGAUACUGACGCUGAGGAGCGAAAGCGUGGGGAGCGAACAGGAUUAGAUACCCUGGUAGUCCACGCUGUAAACGUUGGGCGCUAGGUGUGGGGGGCCUCUCCGGUUCUCUGUGCCGCAGCUAACGCAUUAAGCGCCCCGCCUGGGGAGUACGGCCGCAAGG